This 222-nucleotide ribosomal RNA is filed under the name Paradesmodora campbelli. RNAcentral's name for it is "partial small subunit ribosomal RNA". It matches the Rfam family "Eukaryotic small subunit ribosomal RNA", at positions 156 to 422 of the family's 1831-position model. Lineage: Eukaryota; Metazoa; Nematoda; Chromadorea; Desmodorida; Desmodoridae. The record is from RNAcentral.
UUCAAAAGCUAAUACAACCAAGCUCCGACCUGCAUUUUUUUUACCAAUGGUGACUCUAAAUAACUUUCCUGAUCCCCGUAGCACCGGUGACAUAUCUUUCAAGUCUCUGCCCUAUCCACUUUCUAUGGUAGUUCAUGAGCCUACCAUGGUUGUAACGUGUAACGGGAAAUAAGGGUUCACCUCCGAGAAGGGAGCUGAUUAAAUGUUACCCACAUCAAAGUA